UAGGGAAUAGCUCAGUUGUGUAGAGCAGAAGCUUGAAAAUCCUUGUGUCACCGGUUCAAAUCUGGCUCCUGAAU
Molecule: transfer RNA, 74 nt
Filed under: Allium ochotense
Lineage: Eukaryota; Viridiplantae; Streptophyta; Magnoliopsida; Asparagales; Amaryllidaceae
Description: tRNA-Phe
Source: RNAcentral